GACGAACGCUGGCGGCGUGCUUAACACAUGCAAGUCGAACGGAAAGGCCCUGCUUUUGUGGGGUGCUCGAGUGGCGAACGGGUGAGUAACACGUGAGUAACCUGCCCUUGACUUUGGGAUAACUUCAGGAAACUGGGGCUAAUACCGGAUAGGAGCUCCUGCUGCAUGGUGGGGGCUGGAAAGUUUCGGCGGUUGGGGAUGGACUCGCGGCUUAUCAACUUUUUGGUGGGGUAGUCGCAUACCAAGGCUUUGACGGGUAGCCGGCCUGGGAGGGUGACCGGGCACAUUGGGACUGAGAUACGGCCCAGCCUCCUACGGGAGGCAGCAGUCGGGAAUAUUGCACAAUGGGCGGAGGCGUGAUGCAGCAACGCCGCUUGCGGAAUGACGGCCUUCGGGUUGUAAACCGCUUUCACCUGUUACGAAGCGUGAGUGACGGUAAUGGGUAAAGAAGCACCGGCUAACUACGUG
RNAcentral lists this ribosomal RNA (468 nucleotides) under uncultured bacterium. RNAcentral describes it as "partial 16S ribosomal RNA". It matches the Rfam family "Bacterial small subunit ribosomal RNA", at positions 28 to 507 of the family's 1533-position model. The record is from RNAcentral.